RNAcentral lists this long non-coding RNA (215 nucleotides) under Elaeis guineensis (African oil palm). RNAcentral's name for it is "long non-coding RNA (EGUI_LNC065212)". Lineage: Eukaryota; Viridiplantae; Streptophyta; Magnoliopsida; Arecales; Arecaceae. The record is from RNAcentral.
GGUGAUAAGUGUGGGUGGUUGUUAGAGAACAACUGGCAUUGAGCAUGAUCAUAUGAGAGAUCACUUGGAUUUCUAUUCAAUUAUCAGUGAUUGUCUCGAUGUUGUAGUUGUGUGAUUGAUCUUUUAACUUGAGAUGGUACUACUACUCACAGUGAGAUUGCUGGAGUUUAAUUGACACAUAAAUAUGGAUCUCAAUAAGCCAUUGUAGUGCAUGU